This 497-nucleotide ribosomal RNA is filed under the name uncultured bacterium. RNAcentral's name for it is "partial 16S ribosomal RNA". It matches the Rfam family "Bacterial small subunit ribosomal RNA", at positions 28 to 507 of the family's 1533-position model. The record is from RNAcentral.
GAUGAACGCUGGCGGCGUGCCUAAUACAUGCAAGUCGAGCGAACGGACGUGAAGCUUGCUUCUCUGAUGUUAGCGGCGGACGGGUGAGUAACACGUGGAUAACCUACCUAUAAGACUGGGAUAACUUCGGGAAACCGGAGCUAAUACCGGAUAAUAUUUUGAACCGCAUGGUUCAAAAGUGAAAGACGGUCUUGCUGUCACUUAUAGAUGGAUCCGCGCUGCAUUAGCUAGUUGGUAAGGUAACGGCUUACCAAGGCAACGAUGCAUAGCCGACCUGAGAGGGUGAUCGGCCACACUGGAACUGAGCCACGGUCCAGACUCCUACGGGAGGCAGCAGUAGGGAAUCUUCCGCAAUGGGCGAAAGCCUGACGGAGCAACGCCGCGUGAGUGAUGAAGGUCUUCGGAUCGUAAAACUCUGUUAUUAGGGAAGAACAUAUGUGUAAGUAACUGUGCACAUCUUGACGGUACCUAAUCAGAAAGCCACGGCUAACUACGUG